Long non-coding RNA from Lemur catta (Ring-tailed lemur), 478 nucleotides. RefSeq lists it as uncharacterized. The transcript is spliced from 3 exons. The record is from RefSeq and is a predicted model, not a curated record. NCBI's taxonomy places the organism in Eukaryota, Metazoa, Chordata, Mammalia, Primates, Lemuridae.
AAGAGCUGGAUCCCGGAAUACAAUUUUGAAACGUCAAAGAAGAGCUGUGCUCACAAAACUUUGGGAGAGGAUCACCGCAGAGAGAGGUGAAAUGAAGAUCAAACCCAAAGGAAAACUCAUUUGCAUCAUACAUGAGGAGCCUUCAAUAAAUGCUCCAAAGAAGGUCCAUCAAAUCUAACCACAUAUGGAAUUACCGUGGCUACUCAAGGGACAAGAUAUAUUUCUGGGGUUGCAUCCCCACUGCUCCUGCAUUUAUCUUCCUGGCUGGCUGGUUGCUUGCCUGGUUUCAGUGCAGCACAGAUGGCAGCACCCCUAAAUCAGAGGCGGAUGACACAUGGUUUCCUGGUCCUCCUUCAAGUUGCCACUUUGCUUAUAAGAGCUCAUUUCCUGGGAGUCCAAAUAAUUAUGUUUCACCUGUGCUAUGUACUCCAUAAUUACGUUAUUUUCUUAAUUAUGCUUGAUGACAAAGUUAUCAAAA